Small nucleolar RNA from Manis pentadactyla (Chinese pangolin), 77 nucleotides. RefSeq annotates it as small nucleolar RNA SNORD83. The transcript has a single exon. The record is from RefSeq and is a predicted model, not a curated record. Lineage: Eukaryota; Metazoa; Chordata; Mammalia; Pholidota; Manidae.
ACCACAGGAGGAGCAAUAGUUAAAAAGGAAAUGUCCCCACAGUGAUGGCCUUCAUCUAUCACCCUUGACUGAUGAUA